GCAGGCUCGCGCUUGAAUACAUUAGCAUGGAAUAAUGAAAUAGGACGUUCGAUCCUAUUUUGUUGGUUUCUAGGAUUGACGUAAUGAUUAAUAGGGAUAGUUGGGGGCAUUAGUAUUCAAUUGUCAGAGGUGAAAUUCUUGGAUUUAUUGAAGACUAACUACUGCGAAAGCAUUUGCCAAGGAUGUUUUCAUUAAUCAAGAACGAAAGUUAGGGGAUCGAAGACGAUCAGAUACCGUCGUAGUCUUAACCAUAAACUAUGCCGACUAGGGAUCGGAUGAUGUUAUUUUUAAUGACUCAUUCGGCGCCUUACGGGAAACCAAGGUGUUUGGGUUCCGGGGGGAGUAUGGUCGCAAGGCUGAAACUUAAAGGAAUUGACGGAAGGGCACCACCAGGGGUGGAGCCUGCG
RNAcentral lists this ribosomal RNA (407 nucleotides) under uncultured Glomus. Its description in RNAcentral is "SSU rRNA". It matches the Rfam family "Eukaryotic small subunit ribosomal RNA", at positions 780 to 1187 of the family's 1831-position model. The record is from RNAcentral. Lineage: Eukaryota; Fungi; Glomeromycota; Glomeromycetes; Glomerales; Glomeraceae.